UGGGGGAUAUUGCACAAUGGGCGCAAGCCUGAUGCAGCGACGCCGCGUGGGGGAUGAAGGCCUUCGGGUUGUAAACUUCUUUUGCUCUGAACAAGGCGCACUUUGGGGUGUGUUGAGUGUAGGGGUUGAUUAGCGCCGGCUAACUACGUGCCAGCAGCCGCGGUAAUACGUAGGGCGCGAGCGUUGUCCGGAAUUAUUGGGCGUAAAGGGCUUGUAGGUGGCUGGUUGCGUCUGUCGUGAAAGCUCAUGGCUUAACUGUGGGUUUGCGGUGGGUACGGGCUGGCUUGAGUGCAGUAGGAGAGGCUGGAAUUCCUGGUGUAGCGGUGGAAUGCGAAGAUAUCAGGAGGAAUACCGGUGGCGAAGGCGGGUCUCUGGGCUGUUACUGACACUGAGGAGCGAAAGCAUGGGGAGCGAACAGG
Molecule: ribosomal RNA, 419 nt
Filed under: bacterium
Lineage: Bacteria
Description: partial 16S ribosomal RNA
Rfam family: Bacterial small subunit ribosomal RNA
Source: RNAcentral